Molecule: unclassified non-coding RNA, 197 nt
Filed under: uncultured Ascomycota
Lineage: Eukaryota; Fungi; Ascomycota
Description: sequence contains ITS2
Source: RNAcentral
CUGACCAUAACCUCGGGGGCCCUGCGGCUCCCGGACGCUGAGCGCUGUCCGCCGUCCCGUCUCGCGGACGGUGGUCGCUCGAAUGGCAGCCCGCCGACUUCCGGUCCUCGCGACCGGCGGCCAAACUUUGCAAAUGGCCAAAGCGAAGGCCGUUUCAUUGAUCGGGCAGGGAACAUCGUUGCACGCAUACGCACCCA